Molecule: ribosomal RNA, 255 nt
Filed under: uncultured bacterium
Lineage: Bacteria
Description: partial 16S ribosomal RNA
Rfam family: Bacterial small subunit ribosomal RNA
Source: RNAcentral
UACGUAGGGUGCAAGCGUUGUCCGGAAUUACUGGGCGUAAAGCGCGCGCAGGCGGUUGGCCGUGUCCGAUGUGAAAGCCCCGGGCUUAACCUGGGAAUGGCAUUGGAAACUGGCUGGCUGGAGUGUGGCAGAGGGGGGUGGAAUUCCACGGUGUAGCAGUGAAAUGCGUAGGAGAUGUGGAGGACACCGAUGGCGAAGGCAGCCCCCUGGGCCAACACUGACGCCUCAGGCACGAAAGCGUGGGGAGCAAACAGG